UGGGGAAUCUUGCGCAAUGGCCGAAAGGCUGACGCAGCGACGCCGCGUGCGGGAUGACGGCCUUCGGGUUGUAAACCGCUGUUGCCCGGGACGAACUCCCGUUUUGACGGGAAUGACGGUACCGGGUGAGGAAGCACCGGCUAACUCUGUGCCAGCAGCCGCGGUAAUACAGAGGGUGCGAGCGUUGUCCGGAAUCACUGGGCGUAAAGGGCGCGUAGGCGGUCUGGUAAGCGUGUGGUGAAAGCUCGGGGCUCAACCCCGAGUCGGCCGUGCGAACUGCGAGACUGGAGCAGAUCAGAGGCAGGCGGAAUUCCGGGUGUAGCGGUGGAAUGCGUAGAGAUCCGGAAGAACACCGGUGGCGAAGGCGGCCUGCUGGGAUCUUGCUGACGCUGAGGCGCGACAGCGUGGGGAGCAAACAG
RNAcentral lists this ribosomal RNA (419 nucleotides) under uncultured bacterium. RNAcentral's name for it is "bacterial SSU rRNA". It matches the Rfam family "Bacterial small subunit ribosomal RNA", at positions 355 to 775 of the family's 1533-position model. The record is from RNAcentral.